RNAcentral lists this ribosomal RNA (492 nucleotides) under uncultured bacterium. RNAcentral describes it as "partial 16S ribosomal RNA". It matches the Rfam family "Bacterial small subunit ribosomal RNA", at positions 29 to 507 of the family's 1533-position model. The record is from RNAcentral.
AGUGAACGCUGGCGGUAGGCCUAACACAUGCAAGUCGAACGGCAGCACAGUAAGAGCUUGCUCUUACGGGUGGCGAGUGGCGGACGGGUGAGGAAUACAUCGGAAUCUACUUUUUCGUGGGGGAUAACGUAGGGAAACUUACGCUAAUACCGCAUACGACCUACGGGUGAAAGCAGGGGAUCUUCGGACCUUGCGCGAUUGAAUGAGCCGAUGUCGGAUUAGCUAGUUGGCGGGGUAAGGGCCCACCAAGGCGACGAUCCGUAGCUGGUCUGAGAGGAUGAUCAGCCACACUGGAACUGAGACACGGUCCAGACUCCUACGGGAGGCAGCAGUGGGGAACAUUGGACAAUGGGCGCAAGCCUGAUCCAGCCAUACCGCGUGGGUGAAGAAGGCCUUCGGGUUGUAAAGCCCUUUUGUUGGGAAAGAAAAGCAGCAGGUUAAUACCCCGCUGUUCUGACGGUACCCAAAGAAUAAGCACCGGCUAACUUCGUG